GCAGAUGAUGAAUAUUUUGCACUACAACGGUGCUUUCCUAUAACUCAUGCGGAUUAUAUAAAUCGAGCUUUUUAAAACUGAUG
Molecule: small nucleolar RNA, 83 nt
Organism: Arabidopsis thaliana (thale cress)
Lineage: Eukaryota; Viridiplantae; Streptophyta; Magnoliopsida; Brassicales; Brassicaceae
Source: RefSeq